CAAGAACAAAAACCUUUCUCUUCAAAUUGACAAAAAUGGAAGAAAUGACUUAAAUUCCAACUCAAGGAGCAAAUCACACUUGGGCUCCUUGUCUUCCUAAGCCGUGUUGUCGAUUCAGUGGGAUUCUUAGUCCACAGACACUCUCUGAGCAGUCAUCAUAUUCCUAGCAGAUUGCUUUGGCCUCUUCUACACCAAUCCUGCUGGACACCUGUGAGGAAGCCCUAGAUGAUGUUCCUCUGAUCAGAUCACACCACGGCUGGGUUGUAGAAGGAUCUGCAGGAGCCAAGACCAUCCUGUACCAGCCAGUCCUCUGCAGUCCUGCAGUCAGUGCUAUUUGAC
This 339-nucleotide long non-coding RNA is filed under the name Mus spicilegus (steppe mouse). RNAcentral describes it as "lncRNA (ENSMSIG00000031228.1)". Lineage: Eukaryota; Metazoa; Chordata; Mammalia; Rodentia; Muridae. The record is from RNAcentral.